CCCGGCAUGGGCUGGGGCGGGUUUGUGGUGUUGUCAGCACUGCUGGUGCUGCUGUCGUUCGGCGUGGCACGGCGAGG
RNAcentral lists this transfer RNA (77 nucleotides) under compost metagenome. RNAcentral's name for it is "tRNA-Asp". The record is from RNAcentral.